CCUACGGGAGGCAGCAGUGGGGGAUAUUGCACAAUGGGGGAAACCCUGAUGCAGCGACGCCGCGUGGGUGAAGAAGCGCCUCGGCGCGUAAAGCUCUGUCAGCAGGGAAGAAAAUGACGGUACCUGAAGAAGAAGCCCCGGCUAACUACGUGCCAGCAGCCGCGGUAAUACGUAGGGGGCAAGCGUUAUCCGGAUUUACUGGGUGUAAAGGGGGCGCAGACGGCGAUGCAAGCCUGGAGUGAAAGCCCGGGGCCCAACCCCGGGACUGCUCUGGGAACUGGGUGGCUAGAGUGCAGGAGGGGCAGGCGGAAUUCCUGGUGUAGCGGUGAAAUGCGUAGAUAUCAGGAGGAACACCGGUGGCGAAGGCGGCCUGCUGGACUGCAACUGACGUUGAGGCCCGAAAGCGUGGGGAGCAAACAGGAUUAGAUACCCGAGUAGUC
RNAcentral lists this ribosomal RNA (440 nucleotides) under uncultured bacterium. RNAcentral's name for it is "partial 16S ribosomal RNA". It matches the Rfam family "Bacterial small subunit ribosomal RNA", at positions 338 to 795 of the family's 1533-position model. The record is from RNAcentral.